UACGUAGGGUGCAAGCGUUAAUCGGAAUUACUGGGCGUAAAGCGUGCGCAGGCGGCCUUAAAAGUCAGAUGUGAAAUCCCUGGGCUCAACCUAGGAACUGCGUUUGAAACUCUAAGGCUAGAGUAUGUGAGAGGGGGGUAGAAUUCCACGUGUAGCAGUGAAAUGCGUAGAGAUGUGGAGGAAUACCGAUGGCGAAGGCAGCCCCCUGGCAUAAUACUGACGCUCAUGCACGAAAGCGUGGGGAGCAAACAGG
Molecule: ribosomal RNA, 253 nt
Filed under: uncultured bacterium
Lineage: Bacteria
Description: partial 16S ribosomal RNA
Rfam family: Bacterial small subunit ribosomal RNA
Source: RNAcentral